GGCAAAGCCGGGGCCGGGCCGGGCCGUAGCGCGGGGCCCUCCAGCCCGGGGGCUGUUCCGGGGCUGCGCCCGGCGACGUAACUGUCCCCCCCCCCACCCCGGGCACCGCGGAGCCCUGACACAGCUGCCGCCUGCCCCGGCAGCCCCGCGAGUGCCCGAGCCGGGCCGAGGGGACAGGGCUGCGCGCGGGUCGGCCGGUCGUUGCUGCAGGAGCCGCCUGGUUCCCCGGCGCGGCGGAAGGGGGCCCUGCCAGGCAGGGGGAGAGGGCAGGCCAGGCCAGGCCAGGCCAGGGGUGUGGUGCAGCCCACCCCCACAGCAGCCAGUGCACGGGGGCGCGGUGCAGGGCCUCUCCCCAUGGACUUGGGUCAGGAACCAGAGACUCACCCACAACCCAGGAACCCCAGGGCUCGAACCCACCACCUUUGGCACCUAGGGUAGCUCCCUUACCACCAGACCACUGAGGAGAGCUGAAAGCAGCCCCGGGCCUGGGCCCCUUGACACGCACCCACCGGACCCCUCCACUGCAGGAGGACAGCACCUCCCCACAAAAGGGCAGAGACCUGGACUUGAACCCAGGCCCUCAGCACCCACAAGGAGAAGUCCUGCACCAUGCACCACAGGGCCUAGCUAGCUCUGGCUUUCUCUUCUGGGCCCCUUGACUCCUUCUCUGCGCGCACGCCCCUGGGGCUGCACACCAGCUCCUCUGCCCUCCUGGCAGGACCCCUGCCCAGCGCUGGAUCAGGACCACACACGGCUGCGGGCUGAAGGCAGACCCACCUGGAGGACAACCUCUUCCAGCCUCUAGUCCAGUGCGUGUGUUUGUGUUUGUGCAGGUACAGGCACAAAGUGCUUGUGUGCAUUCGUAGGGUGAGUGCCACGCACAGUCCACCAUACACAUGCAACCAGACCCAGUGUGCACUGCCAUACAUACACACCCCCCACACCUACCCCACCUCACACAGUUCAGCUACCAUCCCCACACACGCUUCUCCCCACACACCAGACGGCAAAGCUAACAUGUUUAACAACUUCUUUUCCUCCAUCUUCCUAAGUAGGGACCAGAACAGCCACCUCCCUGCUGGGCCCCCCUUCUGGAGGGAUUGGACGUAUUCAAGUCAGCCGGCCCAGAUGAUCUCCACCCUAGAGUUCUAAAGGAACUGGCCGAGGUCAUUGCAAGUCCCCUGGCACGGCUGUACGAGCACUCGUGGUGCUCUGGUGAGGUACCGGAGGACUGGAAGAGGGCCAAUGUAGU
RNAcentral lists this long non-coding RNA (1252 nucleotides) under Crocodylus porosus (Australian saltwater crocodile). Its description in RNAcentral is "lncRNA (ENSCPRG00005015812.1)". Lineage: Eukaryota; Metazoa; Chordata; Crocodylia; Crocodylidae. The record is from RNAcentral.